AACGAACGCUGGCGGCGUGCUUAACACAUGCAAGUCGAACGGAACGGCCGGGCUUUGGUGCGGUGCGCGGGUUGAGACCGGGGGAGUAACACGUGAGUAACCUGCACUUGACUUUGGGAGAAGUUCAGGAAGCUGGGUCUAAUACCGGAUAGGAGCUCCUGCUGCAGGGUGGGGGUUGGAUAGUUUCGGCGGUUGGGGAUGGACUCGCGGCUUAUCAGCUUGUUGGUUGGGUAGUGGCUUACCAAGACUUGGACGGGUAGCCGGGCUGAGAGGGUGACAGGACACAUCGCGCCUGGGAUGCGACCCAGACCCCAACGGGACGCAGCAGUGGGGAAUAUUGCACAAUGGGAGGAAGCCUGAUGCAGCACAGCCGCGUGCGGGAUGACGGGCAGCGGGUUGUAUACCGCUUCCGCCUGUGACGAAGCGUUAGUGACGGUAAUGGGUAAAGAAGCACCGGCUAACUACGUG
RNAcentral lists this ribosomal RNA (468 nucleotides) under uncultured bacterium. RNAcentral's name for it is "partial 16S ribosomal RNA". It matches the Rfam family "Bacterial small subunit ribosomal RNA", at positions 28 to 507 of the family's 1533-position model. The record is from RNAcentral.